AACGAACGCUGGCGGCAUGCCUAACACAUGCAAGUCGAACGAGACCUUCGGGACUUGUGGCGCACGGGUGCGUAACGCGUGGGAAGCGUCCCUUAGGUUCGGAAUAACUCCCCGAAAGGGGUGCUAAUACCGGAUAAUGUCUUCGGACCAAAGAUUUAUCGCCUUUGGAUGGGCACGCGUUGGAUUAGCUAGUUGGUAGGGUAAAAGCCUACUAAGGCGACGAUCCAUAGCUGGUCUGAGAGGAUGAUCAGCCACACUGGGACUGAGACACGGCCCAGACUCCUACGGGAGGCAGCAGUGGGGAAUAUUGGACAAUGGGCGAAAGCCUGAUCCAGCAAUGCCGCGUGAGUGCUGAAGGCCUUAGGGUUGUAAAGCUCUUUUACCCGGGAUGAUAAUGACAGUACCGGGAGAAUAAGCUCCGGCUAACUCCGUG
This 433-nucleotide ribosomal RNA is filed under the name uncultured bacterium. RNAcentral describes it as "partial 16S ribosomal RNA". It matches the Rfam family "Bacterial small subunit ribosomal RNA", at positions 29 to 507 of the family's 1533-position model. The record is from RNAcentral.